Rattus norvegicus (Norway rat) is the source of this 69-nucleotide non-coding RNA. NCBI's taxonomy places the organism in Eukaryota, Metazoa, Chordata, Mammalia, Rodentia, Muridae. The record is from Rfam.
GGGGAUUUGGCUCAGUGGUAGAGUGCUUGCCUAGGAAGCGCAAGGCCCUGGGUUCGGUCCCCAGCCCCG